AAGUAGUGCCAUCUUGGAGGAUAGAAUUCAGCUGUUGGUCUUGUGUAACCUCCAUUAAAUCUUUCCACCAAGCUGACUCUUUAUUCCCUCUACUGCCUUCCACCAAUGAUCUCCAUCCACCAUACUUGGAAUCCAAUAUCUUGGACCAUAACUUGUUGCUUUGCUGAAGCAUGUCCCACCUCUAUUUUCCAAGUAGAGCCUUGUUGAAAGCCCAUAUAUCUUUUAUACCGAGGUCCCCUCUUUCCUUUGGAAGGCAAACUAUUUUCCAGUUCACC
This 275-nucleotide unclassified non-coding RNA is filed under the name uncultured bacterium. Its description in RNAcentral is "contains 16S-23S intergenic spacer region". The record is from RNAcentral.